AGCACCAAUUGAUACAUUUGCAUAGAUGUAGACUAGAUGGCUUCACGUUUUCGUUUGAAGUUUUUUCAUUUAGAAAAAAGAAUGUCUCAAUAAUAGCAUAGACCUAUAUCCUACGUGCGUAAUUGCUUAAAGCAAAGAGUCCAACCCAGUCUUUUUGUCUACCUAGAAAAGGAGUGUAAUAGGUAAGAAGUGAAUUUGCCCGUACUGGUUUUCUCUUCGCCCUAGGGCAGCGCUCAGCGCAUUACAUUUCACAUUCCUGCUUCAUCUUCUCAUACGCGGGACAGAUGGCUGUUGGCGUAGGCUAUGUGCUUAUAAAGACCGGGGUCCGGCACGCCGCAUCACCGCCACUGUCAAGCUCCACCGGACGAAUACGGACACCUAUAACUCAAAACGCGUGGAAAAGGAGCACAUCAACACAGAUGACCACACUCACUCGAAAUGAAGCAGAGACGGAUGUACAGGACCCUCCACACCACAGAGAGGAGAGGGGGAGCCCAACAAAGAUGGAGUCAACAAAUGGAGGAGGGGAGAAGGUACGCAAACAAUGAGAAGUUCAGGGGUCUUUUCACUGCUAGUCGGGCCUUGAGACAAAGAAAGAGAAGUGGGUGAGAAGAAACCAGGGGCUAAUGUUGACAGGAAACUGACACCACAUGAAGAGGGAUAUUAAAACACACACUGCUACUCUCUCUCUCUCUCUCUCUCUCUCUCUCUCUCUCUCUCUCACACACACACACACACACGCUUGCACAUGCACACAUACACUUACACACGUUUACACACACAGGCAGUGCAGACCUCACAAGGAGAGGUCAGCACUUUCUAUGUGUAAACAGUCAUUCACAGCAUCUGAAGAGAGGCUAAUUGUGUUGACCUAGUGGCUAAUUGGCAGGGUGCUAACCAGUAGACCCUCCACAGGGGCCUCAGCGAGCGAGGGAGUGAAUGAUUCCUGUGUUCCUCAGCCCAGCAAUAGACUGAAUGGGCUGGACUGAGUAUUCUGUCAACACACACACACACACGUGCAGUUACUCUCUCCUUCCCUUACACACACACACAAACACGAGGGUGUGUGCACACAUGCAUGUACGAGCCUGGCUCUUUCAGGAGUUCAGUGUACACAAACAUCUACACACACACAUACACACAAGCACACAAGGCUGCUUGAAGUGGUUAAAUGAACAGUACACACAGAACCUCACUGACAGUUAUGGGCAGUUAGCCGGGUCCCCUAAUGCUUUUAGCUAGAUGUCACGUCAAGUAGGAGAAACAGUGAAACAGAGUAUGAAUGACAGAAUGUCAGGUCAAUGGAGAUUCUGUCUGACAAAUAAAAAUACUUCGUUUUAAUAGAUAGCCCACGCAAACACCAAAAUGUUCUCGCUGUACUUUAUUUAUUGAAUAAUUUGAUCAUUCUGUAUAUACAUACAGAUAUAUACUGUAUAUAUAUAAAUAUAAGUAUGGUGCCUUGCAUAAGUAUUCACCCCCUUGGACUUUUCUACAUUUUGUCAUAGUAUAUCCACAGAUUCCAAUAUAUUUAAUUGUGAUUUUAUGUAACGGACCAACACAAAAUAGUCCAUCAUUUUGAAGUGGUGGAAAUAUUACAUGGAUAAAAAAAAAAGCACAAACAAAAACAAAUCAGAAAGGUUGGAUAUGUAGUGCAUAUGUAUUCAACCCUUUUACUGUGAAACCCCUAACAAAGAUCUGGGGCCACCAAUUGCCACACAAGUCACAUUCGCUAGUCCCAGGUGGAAACCCAAGACUGCCCAUCACCCUGAGCACACCAUCUCAUCUUCAGCAGGUACUGCGAAACUGGUCAGAAUUGAUGGAAAGAUAGAGGGAGCCAAAUACAGGGCAAUCUUUGAAGAAAAUCUGAUGCAGUCUGCAAAAGACUUGAGACUGGGACGGAGGUGCAUCUUUCAGCAUGACAAUGACCCUAAACAUACAGCCAGAGUUACAAUGGAAUGGUUUAGAUCAAAGCAUGUUUAUGUCCUACAAUGGCCCAGUCAAAGCUCAGACCUAAAUCCAAUUGAGAAUCUUUGGCAAGACUUGAGAAAAUUGCUGUCUCCAUCCAAUUUGACUGAGUUUAAGAUUUUUUGCCAAGAAGAAUGGACAAACAUACAUUUCCAUCUCUAGAUGUGCAAAGCUUGUUGAGACAUACCCACCCCCAAAAGAUUUGCAGCAAAAGGUGCUUCUACAAAGUAUUGACUGAGGGGGCGGGGCGGGGGGGGGGGG
Molecule: long non-coding RNA, 2226 nt
Organism: Hypomesus transpacificus
Lineage: Eukaryota; Metazoa; Chordata; Actinopteri; Osmeriformes; Osmeridae
Exons: 3
Source: RefSeq, a predicted model, not a curated record